This 200-nucleotide ribosomal RNA is filed under the name uncultured bacterium. Its description in RNAcentral is "partial 16S ribosomal RNA". It matches the Rfam family "Bacterial small subunit ribosomal RNA", at positions 1300 to 1500 of the family's 1533-position model. The record is from RNAcentral.
GCAGGCUGCAACUCGCCUGCAUGAAGUUGGAAUUGCUAGUAAUCGCGGAUCAGCAUGCCGCGGUGAAUACGUUCCCGGGCCUUGUACACACCGCCCGUCACACCAUGGGAGCCGGUAAUACCCGAAGUCAGUAGCCUAACCGCAAGGGGGCGCUGCCGAAGGUAGGAUUGGCGACUGGGGUGAAGUCGUAACAAGGUACC